Molecule: long non-coding RNA, 400 nt
Filed under: Brassica napus (rape)
Lineage: Eukaryota; Viridiplantae; Streptophyta; Magnoliopsida; Brassicales; Brassicaceae
Description: long non-coding RNA (BNAP_LNC007821)
Source: RNAcentral
GAUAGGUUGAUCCGCUUUAGCAUCUUUAGUGCUAUCUACAAUCAGUAAAUCUAAAAUGGUGCUAAAGAUUGGUUAGAUAUUCAUGUUUAAAUCAAUAUAGGAUUAUAGUCCCUAUUUUUAAUAGCUAAGCAUCAUUUAUUUGAAAUUCGUUUUUACAUAAGACUAAAAUAAAUUAUAUCAGUAAAUCUCCCUCCAGACAUAAAUUACACUGUCUUAGUGUAACUCAGCCGGAGUUAUGAUGAAAAGCUUAUAAUGUACGAAAUGUAACAAGUAGGUAAGAUACAUCUGACCAGAUUAAAUAUCGAUCGAUGUGUAAGUGUUACAUCGAUCGUCGUGUGGUUGCCUAUGUCGAACGAUGUCGACGUCUCAUCGUCAGUCGAUAUUCAAGUCCUCCUACUUG